Molecule: ribosomal RNA, 372 nt
Filed under: uncultured organism
Description: partial 16S ribosomal RNA
Rfam family: Bacterial small subunit ribosomal RNA
Source: RNAcentral
GUAGGUGGCAAGCGUUGUCCGGAAUUAUUGGGCGUAAAGCGCGCGCAGGCGGUUUCUUUAAGUCUGAUGUGAAAGCCCACGGCUCAACCGUGGAGGGUCAUUGGAAACUGGAGAACUUGAGUACAGAAGAGGAAAGCGGAAUUCCACGUGUAGCGGUGAAAUGCGUAGAGAUGUGGAGGAACACCAGUGGCGAAGGCGGCUUUCUGGUCUGUAACUGACGCUGAGGCGCGAAAGCGUGGGGAGCAAACAGGAUUAGAUACCCUGGUAGUCCACGCCGUAAACGAUGAGUGCUAAGUGUUAGGGGGUUUUCCGCCCCCCUUAGUGCUGCAGCUAACGCAUUAAGCAUCCGCCUGGGAUACGGCCGCAAGGCUG